This 167-nucleotide ribosomal RNA is filed under the name uncultured bacterium. RNAcentral's name for it is "partial 16S rRNA". It matches the Rfam family "Bacterial small subunit ribosomal RNA", at positions 352 to 511 of the family's 1533-position model. The record is from RNAcentral.
UAGGGAAGUACUUCGGCAAUGGGGCGAACCCUGACCGAGCAACGCCGCGUGAGUGAAGAAGGUUUUCGGAUCGUAAAGCUCUGUUGUAAGAGAAGAACGUGUGUGAGAGUGGAAAGUUCACACAGUGACGGUAACUUACCAGAAAGGGACGGCUAACUACGUGCCAG